Molecule: ribosomal RNA, 515 nt
Filed under: uncultured bacterium
Lineage: Bacteria
Description: partial 16S ribosomal RNA
Rfam family: Bacterial small subunit ribosomal RNA
Source: RNAcentral
GAUGAACGCUGGCGGCGUGCCUAAUACAUGCAAGUCGAGCGAAUGGAUUAAGAGCUUGCUCUUAUGAAGUUAGCGGCGGACGGGUGAGUAACACGUGGGUAACCUGCCCAUAAGACUGGGAUAACUCCGGGAAACCGGGGCUAAUACCGGAUAACAUUUUGAACCGCAUGGUUCGAAAUUGAAAGGCGGCUUCGGCUGUCACUUAUGGAUGGACCCGCGUCGCAUUAGCUAGUUGGUGAGGUAACGGCUCACCAAGGCAACGAUGCGUAGCCGACCUGAGAGGGUGAUCGGCCACACGGGGGCUGAGACACGGCCCAGACUCCUACGGGAGGCAGCAGUAGGGAGUCUUCCGCAAUGGACGAAAGUCUGACGGAGCAACGCCGCGUGAGUGAUGAAGGCUUUCGGGUCGUAAAACUCUGUUGUUAGGGAAGAACAAGUGCUAGUUGAAUAAGCUGGCACCUUGACGGUACCUAACCAGAAAGCCACGGCUAACUACGUGCCAGCCGCCGCCGUAA